GCAAGGUUGGCCGAGUGGUCUUAAGGCGGUUGACUUAAGUAAGCAUUACGUAAUCAACUGGACGUCAGUCCGCGUGGGUUCGAACCCCACACCUUGCA
Non-coding RNA from Borealophlyctis nickersoniae, 98 nucleotides. The record is from the annotation of a GenBank genome assembly. NCBI's taxonomy places the organism in Eukaryota, Fungi, Chytridiomycota, Chytridiomycetes, Rhizophlyctidales, Borealophlyctidaceae.